UACGUAGGGGGCAAGCGUUGUCCGGAAUUAUUGGGCGUAAAGAGCGCGUAGGCGGUCCGAUAAGUCGGCUGUGAAAGUCAGGGGCUCAACCCUUGGAAGCCGGCCGAUACUGUCGGACUAGAGUCCGGAAGAGGCGAGUGGAAUUCCCGGUGUAGCGGUGAAAUGCGCAGAUAUCGGGAGGAACACCUGCGGCGAAGGCGGGUUGCUGGGCUGACACUGACGCUGAUUGUGCGAAAGCUAGGGGAGCGAACGGG
RNAcentral lists this ribosomal RNA (254 nucleotides) under uncultured bacterium. RNAcentral's name for it is "partial 16S ribosomal RNA". It matches the Rfam family "Bacterial small subunit ribosomal RNA", at positions 524 to 776 of the family's 1533-position model. The record is from RNAcentral.